UACGAAGGGGGCUAGCGUUGCUCGGAAUUACUGGGCGUAAAGGGCGCGUAGGCGGACAGUUUAGUCAGAGGUGAAAGCCCAGGGCUCAACCUUGGAAUUGCCUUUGAUACUGGCUGUCUUGAGUUCGGGAGAGGUGAGUGGAAUGCCGAGUGUAGAGGUGAAAUUCGUAGAUAUUGGGAAGAACACCAGUGGCGAAGGCGACUAACUGGUCCGGUACUGACGCUGAGGUGCGAAAGCGUGGGGAGCAAACAGG
This 253-nucleotide ribosomal RNA is filed under the name uncultured bacterium. Its description in RNAcentral is "partial 16S ribosomal RNA". It matches the Rfam family "Bacterial small subunit ribosomal RNA", at positions 524 to 776 of the family's 1533-position model. The record is from RNAcentral.